UACGUAGGGUGCAAGCGUUGUCCGGAAUUAUUGGGCGUAAAGAGCUCGUAGGUGGCCUGUCGCGUCGGCUGUGAAAACUCGGGGCUCAACUCCGAGCUUGCAGUCGAUACGGGCAGGCUAGAGUUCGGCAGGGGAGACUGGAAUUCCUGGUGUAGCGGUGAAAUGCGCAGAUAUCAGGAGGAACACCGAUGGCGAAGGCAGGUCUCUGGGCAUUAACUGACGCUGAGGAGCGAAAGCAUGGGGAGCGAACAGG
This 253-nucleotide ribosomal RNA is filed under the name uncultured bacterium. RNAcentral's name for it is "partial 16S ribosomal RNA". It matches the Rfam family "Bacterial small subunit ribosomal RNA", at positions 524 to 776 of the family's 1533-position model. The record is from RNAcentral.